GACGAACGCUGGCGGCGUGCCUAAUACAUGCAAGUAGAACGCUGAAGGAGGAGCUUGCUUCUCUGGAUGAGUUGCGAACGGGUGAGUAACGCGUAGGUAACCUGCCUGGUAGCGGGGGAUAACUAUUGGAAACGAUAGCUAAUACCGCAUAAUAGCAGUUGUUGCAUGACAACUGUUUGAAAGGUGCAAUUGCACCACUACCAGAUGGACCUGCGUUGUAUUAGCUAGUUGGUGGGGUAACGGCUCACCAAGGCGACGAUACAUAGCCGACCUGAGAGGGUGAUCGGCCACACUUGGACUGAGACACGGCCCAGACUCCUACGGGAGGCAGCAGUAGGGAAUCUUCGGCAAUGGACGGAAGUCUGACCGAGCAACGCCGCGUGAGUGAAGAAGGUUUUCGGAUCGUAAAGCUCUGUUGUAAGAGAAGAACGAGUGUGAGAGUGGAAAGUUCACACUGUGACGGUAUCUUACCAGAAAGGGACGGCUAACUACGUG
This 495-nucleotide ribosomal RNA is filed under the name uncultured bacterium. RNAcentral's name for it is "partial 16S ribosomal RNA". It matches the Rfam family "Bacterial small subunit ribosomal RNA", at positions 28 to 507 of the family's 1533-position model. The record is from RNAcentral.